CCCUUAGAUGUUCUGGGCCGCACGCGCGCUACAAUGAUGCAGGCAACGAGUGCCGCUCCUUAGCCGAAAGGCUUGGGGAAUCUUGAAAACUGCAUCGUGCUAGGGAUAGAUGAUUGCAAUCGUGCAUCUUGAACGAGGAAUGCCUUGUAAGCGUGAGUCAUCAACUCGCGCUGAAUACGUCCCUGCCCUUUGUACACACCGCCCGUCGCUCCUACCGAUUGGAUGGUCCGGUGAACUGGUCGGACUGCUGUUUGAAAUUGCGGGUGCAGUUGAUUCACGGGAAGUCUAGUAAACCUUAUCAUCUAGAGGAAGGAGAAGUCGUANCA
RNAcentral lists this ribosomal RNA (326 nucleotides) under uncultured eukaryote. RNAcentral's name for it is "partial 18S ribosomal RNA". It matches the Rfam family "Eukaryotic small subunit ribosomal RNA", at positions 1470 to 1796 of the family's 1831-position model. The record is from RNAcentral.